UACAAGGCCUUUUUGAAGGCCACCACUGUUGAGCAGCUGAUGAUAG
Non-coding RNA from Echinostoma caproni, 46 nucleotides. The record is from Rfam. NCBI's taxonomy places the organism in Eukaryota, Metazoa, Platyhelminthes, Trematoda, Plagiorchiida, Echinostomatidae.